GGGAGAGCCAUGACAACCUGAGCUGCAGCAAACACACAUGAACCCAGCCCAACACAAAUUUGGGGCUUUCAGGGCUGUUGCACCUCUGCCUCUCCAGAGCGCUCACCACCAACAGCGUUACCGAGGGUUUCAGUCAAGAGCUGAGCAAGAACCAGGGAAAAAAUGUGAAGCAGCCUCUUCCCAAGCCCUCAAAUUUAUGUCUGAGUUUAUUAAAGGAGAGACAAGCAGACAGCACUCACAGCUCAGCUGGCGCCUGGGGGAGCUCUGAAGCUUGAAGAGCCCUUUAACCUGCUGUUUUCACCCCGUGAAGAUGCUCAGAGAUCCUAGUGGAGUCACUCCUUAAUCUUCCUUCUGAUAAAUUAAUACUUGAAGAUGCUUUCAAACUC
Long non-coding RNA from Pseudopipra pipra, 386 nucleotides. RefSeq lists it as uncharacterized. The transcript has 2 exons. The record is from RefSeq and is a predicted model, not a curated record. Lineage: Eukaryota; Metazoa; Chordata; Aves; Passeriformes; Pipridae.